This 468-nucleotide ribosomal RNA is filed under the name uncultured bacterium. RNAcentral describes it as "partial 16S ribosomal RNA". It matches the Rfam family "Bacterial small subunit ribosomal RNA", at positions 28 to 507 of the family's 1533-position model. The record is from RNAcentral.
GACGAACGCUGGCGGCGUGCUUAACACAUGCAAGUCGAACGGAAAGGCCCGGCUUUUGUUGGUUGCUCGAUUGGCGAACGGGUGAGUAACACGUGAGUAACCUGCCCCUGACUGUGUGAUAACUUCAGGAAACUGGGGCGAAUACCGGGUAGGAUCUCUUGCUCCACGUGGGGGGUUGGAAAGUGUCGGCGGUUGGGGAUGGACUCGCUGCUUAUCAGCUGGUUGGGGUGGUAGUGGCUUACCAAGGCUUUGACGGGUAGCCGGCCUGGGAGGGUGACCGGCCACAUUGGGACUGAGAGACGGACCAGUCUGCUACGGGCGGCAGCGGUGGAGAAUAUUGCAGAGUAGGCGGGAGUCUGAUGCGAAAACGCCGCGUGCGGGAUGCCGGCCUUCGGGUUGUAAACCGCUUUCGCAUGUGACGAAGAGUGAGUGACGGUAAUUGGUAAAAAAGCCACGGCUAACUACGUG